CCUACGGGUGGCAGCAGUGAGGAAUAUUGGUCAAUGGCCGGAAGGCUGAACCAGCCAAGUCGCGUGAGGGACGACUGCCCUAUGGGUUGUAAACCUCUUUUAUAAGGGAAGAAUAAAUGCUACGUGUAGCAUGAUGCCUGUACCUUAUGAAUAAGCAUCGGCUAACUCCGUGCCAGCAGCCGCGGUAAUACGGAGGAUGCGAUCGUUAUCCGGAUUCAUUGGGUUUAAAGGGUGCGCAGGCGGGCCUUUAAGCCGGCGGUGAAAUCGCGGGGCUCAACCCCGCCGAGCCGUCGGAACUGGGGGCCUUGAGUGCGGCGGAGGCAUGCGGAAUGCGCGGUGUAGCGGUGAAAUGCAUAGAUAUCGCGCAGAACCCCGAUUGCGAAGGCAGCGUGCCGUGCCGCCACUGACGCUGAGGCACGAAAGCGCGGGGAUCGAACAGGAUUAGAUACCCGAGUAGUC
Molecule: ribosomal RNA, 459 nt
Filed under: uncultured bacterium
Lineage: Bacteria
Description: partial 16S ribosomal RNA
Rfam family: Bacterial small subunit ribosomal RNA
Source: RNAcentral